GACGAACGCUGGCGGCGUGCCUAAUACAUGCAAGUUGAGCGCUGAAGGUUGGUACUUGUACCAACUGGAUGAGCAGCGAACGGGUGAGUAACGCGUGGGGAAUCUGCCUUUGAGCGGGGGACAACAUUUGGAAACGAAUGCUAAUACCGCAUAAAAACUUUAAACACAAGUUUUAAGUUUGAAAGAUGCAAUUGCAUCACCCAAAGAUGAUCCCGCGUUGUAUUAGCUAGUUGGUGAGGUAAAGGCUCACCAAGGCGAUGAUACAUAGCCGACCUGAGAGGGUGAUCGGCCACAUUGGGACUGAGACACGGCCCAAACUCCUACGGGAGGCAGCAGUAGGGAAUCUUCGGCAAUGGACGAAAGUCUGACCGAGCAACGCCGCGUGAGUGAAGAAGGGUUUCGGAUCGUAAAACUCUGUUGGUAGAGAAGAACGUUGGUGAGAGUGGAAAGCUCAUCAAGUGACGGUAACUACCCAGAAAGGGACGGCUAACUACGUG
This 497-nucleotide ribosomal RNA is filed under the name uncultured bacterium. RNAcentral describes it as "partial 16S ribosomal RNA". It matches the Rfam family "Bacterial small subunit ribosomal RNA", at positions 28 to 507 of the family's 1533-position model. The record is from RNAcentral.